RNAcentral lists this long non-coding RNA (241 nucleotides) under Crocodylus porosus (Australian saltwater crocodile). Its description in RNAcentral is "lncRNA (ENSCPRG00005010541.1)". Lineage: Eukaryota; Metazoa; Chordata; Crocodylia; Crocodylidae. The record is from RNAcentral.
AGGACGAAAGCACUUCUUCAGAAGAUGGGGAGCUACAUGAUAUUUGAUGUUGCCAUGGGAGACCAGAACAUUUGCAGAGCAGAUGGACCAAAGUUAAAUAACAUGGAUACAGGAAAUGUACCUGGGAAGAACCUUGAAGAGACCCACAGAUCUCUGUCAAAGUAGUUAUUUGCCAAGAGAUUCCUUUACUUAACUGAGCUUGGCAAAGCAAGGAUAUGAACAAUUAUACAGGUGGGCUACU